AAUAUUCUCAGCAGCUUUAUUUGUAAUAGCCCCAAACUAGAAAACCAAAUGUCUAUCAACUAGUGAAUGGAGAGACAAACUGCUAUACAUUCAUACAGCAGACUACUACUCAGUAAGAAAAAGGAAUGAGCUCCUGAUACAUGCAACAAAAUAAUUAUGAUGAGUGAAAUAAGCCAGAAAUAAAAAAGAGUACAUAUUUUAUGAUUCUAUUUACGCAAAACUCUAGAAAAUGCAAACUAAUCUAUAGUGACACAAAUAGGUUAACGGUUGCCUGGGGAUGAGAAUAGAGAUUGAGGAGAGAGAAAGAAGGGAUUAUAAAGGGAAACAAGGAGCCUUUUGCAGAUAGAGAUAUGGUCAUUAUCUUGGUUGUGGUGCUGGUUUCAUGAGGGUAUUCACCUGUCAAAACUUAUCCAAUUGUUCACUUUAGGUUUGUGCAGUUUAUUGUAUGUCAAAUAUACCUUGAAUAGUGCUGUAAAAAACAUUCUCAGACUCCACCCCAGGCCUGCCGAAUCAGAAACAGUGGGAGUGUGCCCCGAAAUUUGUGUUUCAACAAAUACUGCAGGCGAUUCUGAUGCAUGGCAAUGUCUGAGACACAUGACUUAGGUGAUAAACUUUCCAUCAGGUGGUUGAAAUAAGGCUCUGGACUGGAGUAUAGAUUUGAGAGUCACCCGCUCGAAGGUCAUCGCUGAAAUUGUAGGAUGACAGGAUUUAGGGUGUAAAAAACAGAAAGCAAGAGGUGGGGACUAGAAAAAACCUAUCCUCAGGAAACAGAAGGAAAAGGAGAAGCAGGUGAAAGAAGCAAGGAAGGACUAACAGAUGCCAAGGAAGGUAUUUUGAGAUAGGGGGUGAUCAAUACCGAGGAUACCAUUGAGGUUAACAUAUCUGCAUAAGUGCUGUCCAGAAAUUAGUGCAUUAAUCAUGCCAGGACUGGGCAGGCAGACAUUAAUAAUAGUACACCUGGAAGGCAGCACAGUUGCAGGGAGGAGCCCAGGAUUUGGAGUUGAACAGGUCUGGGUAGAAUCUAGCUCCUUCGAUUACUCAUGUGUCUAUUUUGCUAAGUUUCUUGCAGUGAGUCUCUAUUUUCUUGUUUUCAAAAUGGAGAUCAUUCUACCCACUAACAGGAUGGAAUAUGUGUGGUAUGUAAAAUACUCAAACCGAAUGACUUGCAAAGUUGUUCGUUUCUUUAUGUUCUUCACCUCCUUCUCAUGAUUCCUCAUCUUACAUAAAAAGAAACGGAGGUCCAGAGCGAGGGAGUGAUAUACCUCAGGUCGCAGGACUCAAUUUGGAAGCACAUUCCUGAACUGAAACCCAUGGGAGCACUGGACAGAUCCACAGAUGUGCCAGGUGUGAGACUCCUGAGAUUAUACGCAGACUGGAUAUGAAUGCAUGAUGCAUGUUUUUCCUGGAGCAAAUGUUCAUUAUUUUCAUUGGCAUCUCCAAGGGAUCCAGUAUCUGGAAAGGUUAAGAACUGCUGCCUCCUCAUAUUCUCAGCCAUCCUUCUUUCCAUCACACAUCUUCCAGAGCAUAGUUUUACUAUUUCUCUGUGACUGACCAGUCUGCACAUCAGGAAACUUGCUUCAUGGUCUCGCCUCAGAUCAUUCAUUCACUCCGUAAACAGCUGCUGAUCACCUGCAGGUCCAGUCGGCACCAUAUAUCUGGUACAGGGAAGGACCCCAACAUGGAAGAGGAUCCCAGCUUGAAGGAGCUUGCAGUAGGUAGAGGAGGAGGCCAGGGACAGAGAUAACUAUGAGAGGUAGAGUCAGUCUAUGAUGGAAACAUGAGAGAAGGGGCACAAGCAAAGGUCAUCUGGGAAGACUGCAUUUGGACUGUCCCGGCAUGCACUUUGGUGGCUCUCUCCAUCCAUAGGUCUGUCCACUCAGAGAUGUACAGCCCUCAGCUUCAUUUUUAUUCUUCAAACCAUCACAAUUUGCCUUCCACCUACCACUUUGAUGAAAUGCUCUCUUCAAGGUCAACCUCCAGGAAACCCUUGCUCUCUUCAACAGACCUUGCCACUUUGGAGCUCUGAGACACUGACCUGUAUUGGCUGAUACAUGUGGGGUCUCCUUCCUCCCUUGGCUUUCAUGAAGCAGCAUCUGCUUCUUUCUCCUGCUCCUCUGGGAUCACUUCUGUCUCACUCCCAAGCUCCCUUUAAUGAUGGUGUUUGCCCUACUUCAUCCACAGCCCACAACUCAUCCCUUUCCAUGUGCUCACCCCAGUGACCUCAUCCAGGGCCAUGGCUCCCCUGACCACAUUCACACAGUCCCCACAAUUUUUUUCUCAUCCAGCCUUUCUCAAAGCUCAAUUCUGAACACCUUAUCAGCAUCUCCAGCUGAAUUCCUUAAGAAUCUCCAUUUCGACUCAUCCACCAUGAGCUUACCACUUCCCCCAAAUGCAUUUGUGUUUCCCAGAAUCUUUCACCCAACCAGAAACCUUGGAGUCAUUGUGAAUGCCAUCUUUUUCAUCACCUCGUUCCUCCAAGCAAUCACUAAGUCCUAUGACUUUUACCUCUCAGAAGCUUUUAAACUGGUUUCUCCUUUUACACCUCUGCGGCCUGUCCUAGUUAUGGCCUUACCAUAUCUUUUUUGAAUAUCUGCAGUAGCCAGCUCUUUCUCCUGGCCUCUGCUCAUCCCAAUCCAGCCUGUAACAGCUAAUAACAGCAGCUAAUCUUCACCAGGGGUUGCCACAUGCCAGUUCUCUCCAUGUUAUGUCACUUCAUUCUUAACAACUCAAAGAGACAGGUACUAUUAUUAUCCCCUUUUACAGAUGAAUAAAUUGAGGCACUGAGAGGUUAAGUCAUUUUUUAGUACCAUAGAUAGUACGUUGCAUGCCAAGAUUAUUCUAAAAUGCAAAUUUAUUUAUUUAGGGCCACAUGUGCAGCAUAUGGAAGUUCCCAGGCUAGGGUCAAAUUGGAGCCACAGCCACAGUCACAGCUACGCUGGAUCCAAGCCACGUCUGUGACCUACACUGUAGCUCUCAGUAAUACCACAUCCUUAACCCACUGAGUGGGGCCAGGGAUCGAACCUGCAUCCUCAUGGAUACCAGUCUGUUCAUUUCCACUGAUCAACAAUGAGAACUCCCCUAAAACACAAAUUUUAAUUAUGCUAUACAUUGUUCUAAAACCCUUAAAGACUCCCCAUCCUCUUAAUACAAAAACUCAAAUUCUUUAGCACAGUGGUACAGAUCAUAAGAUCCAAGUUCCCUGUGCCAGCUUUGCCUCUGGGUUUUUGUACAUGCUGUUUUUUCAGCCAGAAGCUCCCCUUCCCCUACAUGUUUCCCCUCCUGACUUUUCUCUAUGCCUUAUAACCCCUAUUCAUUCUUCUAAAAGAAUUGUCUCAUAGGUGGAUGCCUUGCUCUGCCCUCUGCAGCUCAGGUAGCUGCCUGUGGUAGACACUGUGUACUGCCCGAUCCCCUUUGAUGAAGGACUUAGCCCAGUUACUGGGGGUGCUAGCAGACAGUCCUCAGCUAUCAGCUCUGUGGGAGAAUGGCUUCAGCUGAAGAAAGCUGUCCAACCCAAAGUCAUUCCCACUUCUGGGGCUACUCUUGUCCCAAGAUGCAACAAAUAGGGGUGUAAAAGCUGAGACCCCUGGCCCCAACCUGGGGAAAAGUUGAACGGCCAUUCCAGGCCCUGAGUUACCCAAAGGGUCAGCCUUUGACCAGUCCCAAUUCCUCCCUCUUCUUCCCUAAGUUUUGAUCCCAAGAUCUUCUGAACACCCUGCACAUUAAUCUCUAUCUCUGAAUCUGCUUCCUAGGGAAGCCCUCAGUGCUCAUGUCUCCCCAGCUAGGCUCCCUGAGGACUCAGUGACCCAGGGCUGGGGCACUACUGGAAAAAGGCACCAGUUCCCAGGAGCCCCAACCCCAGGGGUGCAGCUCUUUAAAUGCAGGGCAGUAAGUGACAAAACCUUCUGCCUCCAUUGAUCCACCUGGUCAUGGCUUCUUAACCAGAUAAUUCAUCUCCAGGUGGCCCUGGACUUCCUGACCCUAGGCAGGCCAUUAAUUUGGUGACUCUUGCUGACCUCCAGUACUCACCUGCCCCCUAACCCCCCCCCCCCGGAAACCCCGUACUGUGAGGCCAGAGCAUUCAUUUCAGAAGGCAGAGGGUGGGGAUAUAUGGCAGUGGGUUGUAAUCCCAAUCACACACUGUGACGUCUCUGAAAAAAAGUUACUCAUACUCCAACUGCUCUCAGUCAAGAUAAUGUGGACCCCCUCCCUCAGACCUCACAUCCUUGAAUUGUUAACUUCAAAUCCUGAACUCUUGAUCCUCGAAUUAAAGAAAUAGCACAGUGUCUUGAAAAGGCACAGCUUUGGAAUCAACUAAAUCUGAGUUCAACUCCUAAGUCUUCCCUGUAUGAGUCACUUCAGCUACCUAAAGCCUCAUUUCCUUGUUCAUGGAACAGAUGUGGUGACAAUCCUAUCUCACAAGGUUGUUGUUUGUUCAUUUCUUUGUUUUGCUUAAGGGCCAUAACCGUGGCAUAGGAGUUCCCAGGCUAGGGGUUGAAUCAGAGCUACAGUUGCCAGCCUACACUACAGCAAUGCCAGAUCCAAGCUGUGCCUGCAAUCUAUACCAUAGCUCAUGGCAAUGCCAGAUCCUUAACCCAUGAGUGAGGCCAGGGAUCGAACCUGCAUCCUCAUGGAUACUGGGUGGGUUCCAAACUUGCCGAGCCACAACAAGAACUCCCAUUGUUUUGUUUUUAAUCGAGGCACCACAUGUAAGACACUCAGCACACAGGGGCUGCUCAGUAGCUGAUAGAUCUUGUCUUCUAAACUUGAGAAUUCUGUAUCCCUAAAGCCGGAAGCAUAAUAAAGUCAGAAGCAGAACUCUCACUUUCAUAGAGUUGUGAAACUAUGUAUCAGGCACUGUUCUAAGCACCCUACUAAUUCCAAGUCAAUCCUAUCAACAAUCCUGUGAGGUAGGUACCACUAUUAAUCUCAUCUUGUCGAUGAGGAAAUGUGGCACAGAGAAAUUAAGGAAUUUGCCUGAGGUCACACAGCUAGGAUGAGGUGGAGCCAGAAUUAUAACCGAGGCAGUUGGCUCUGGAUCAAUGCACUGAGGGUGGAAGGAGCACAUUCUACACCCAGUAGGCUCUCAAGGAAGCUUGUUGAUGUUGAGAAGGAAGAGGAGGAGGAAGGAAGGGUCACUGGGCAGAUAAGAAGGGAAGUUGAGGGAACAGGUGAAGGGCUAUCAACCAAAAAAUAUACUUGGCAAGAGUGGGACUGAGAAUAUGAAAGGUCUUGGGGAUGGGCCAUCUCUGGGCCUGGAGGAGCUGGGACUCUGACCAGAGCAGGGCAGAGAGCACAAGGCAUUGUGGUGGAAUGUCUUGGUGAUAUAAUCAACAUUUGUAAGUUGGAGGUCAGUAUGCAUGCAUGUAUUUAGUGCCUGUGGUCUCAACUGGAGCCUCUUGCAGGGGGAAAUCAGGGAAGGCUUCCUGGAAGAGGCAGCAUCUGAAUGUGGCUUUAAAAGAUAUAGAAUGUGUUUGGUGGGAAAGCAGGAAACUGCAGACCUGUCAAGGAAGGUGGCCAGUCCUGAAAGGCUUGUGGGGGGUGGGAGUGAGAGUGGUGGAAGGGGUAAGUUGCAGCCCACUGUGGAGAGUUCUGAAUGCCAUGCUGAAUUGUCUUGGUCAAUAGAGCACUUGCUCAGAGUAAUGCUUCAGAAAGAAUAAUCAGGCAGCAGCAGAUGAAGGGCAAAGAUGAGGAGGAGGGGCUCUGACAGGGGAAUACCCUGAGGACCACCCACUCCCUGCAUCUGUAUGAAGUCCUCUCCCCCCCUUCCCUGGUCCUCUGACUGAAUGGUUAUCCUGGGGGAAAGGAGAAGGGGGCACCACAGAGUCAGUCUCCUGGGUCUCCUAUUCUUGGAAAGUGCCUGCCACACUGGCUGCAGCCCAAGUGGGAACUGGAGCCUGAGAGUGCAGGUGGGACGGGUGUGGAAAGACGGGAGUAGAGAGAGCCUAAGUGUGGCAUAUAGUGGCCACAUUGUAUCUUGAUCCAUUAACUAACAGACAGAGAUACUCAGAGAGAUGCAGAAAGGGAAGAAGAAGAAAAGGUGCCUCCAGGAGAGGGAGGAUUGACC
RNAcentral lists this long non-coding RNA (6064 nucleotides) under Sus scrofa (pig). RNAcentral's name for it is "lncRNA (ENSSSCG00035037435.1, ENSSSCG00065057454.1)". Lineage: Eukaryota; Metazoa; Chordata; Mammalia; Artiodactyla; Suidae. The record is from RNAcentral.